AUAUUACAAGCAUGCCUAAUGUUUACAUGUUGUUUAGAUCUUGCUGCACAUUAUGAAGCCUUUUUGAGAUAUCCAACAUCUUCAUCUGCAAUGAGUGCUCUAGUUCCAUCCUCAAUUGCAUUGAGUGUGCCAUCUACAUCUGCAAUAAUUGGUAUG
This is a long non-coding RNA of Hydra vulgaris (swiftwater hydra), 156 nucleotides long. RefSeq lists it as uncharacterized. The record is from RefSeq and is a predicted model, not a curated record. NCBI's taxonomy places the organism in Eukaryota, Metazoa, Cnidaria, Hydrozoa, Anthoathecata, Hydridae.